GACGAACGCUGGCGGCGCGCCUAAUACAUGCAAGUCGAACGAGCGAGAGAGAGCCUGCUUUCUCAAGCGAGUGGCGAACGGGGGUGAAACGCGCGAGGAACACCCACCUAUGAGAGUGACAUCACUUGGAAACAACGGCGCAUACCCCAUAAGCUCACUUGACGCCAACGGCUAGAGGGAAAAGGAGCAAUCCGCUUUGAGAUGGCCACGCGUCCGAUUAGCUAGUUGUUGUGGUAACGGCCCACCAAGGCAACGAUCGGUAGCCGGACUGAGAGGUUGAACGGCCACAUUGGGACUGAGACACGGCCCAGACUCCUACGGGAGGCAGCAGUGGGGAAUAUUGCACAAUGGGGGAAACCCUGAUGCAGCGACGCCGCGUGGAGGAAGAAGGUCUUCGGAUUGUAAACUCCUGUUGUUGAGGAAGAUAAUGACGGUACUCAACAAGGAAGUGACGGCUAACUACGUG
RNAcentral lists this ribosomal RNA (466 nucleotides) under uncultured bacterium. RNAcentral describes it as "partial 16S ribosomal RNA". It matches the Rfam family "Bacterial small subunit ribosomal RNA", at positions 28 to 507 of the family's 1533-position model. The record is from RNAcentral.